UACGGGGGGAGCAAGCGUUGUUCGGAUUUACUGGGCGUAAAGGGCGCGUAGGCGGUCAGCACAAGUCAGUUGUGAAAUCUCCGAGCUUAACUCGGAACUGUCAGCUGAUACUGAUGUGCUAGAGUGCAGAAGGGGCAAUCGGAAUUCUUGGUGUAGCGGUGAAAUGCGUAGAUAUCAAGAGGAACACCUGAGGUGAAGACGGGUUGCUGGGCUGACACUGACGCUGAUAGCGCGAAAGCCAGGGGAGCAAACGGG
RNAcentral lists this ribosomal RNA (255 nucleotides) under uncultured bacterium. Its description in RNAcentral is "partial 16S ribosomal RNA". It matches the Rfam family "Bacterial small subunit ribosomal RNA", at positions 524 to 776 of the family's 1533-position model. The record is from RNAcentral.